Elaeis guineensis (African oil palm) is the source of this 314-nucleotide RNA transcript. It is a transcript of the gene named disease resistance protein RPM1-like, with no coding region annotated. The record is from RefSeq and is a predicted model, not a curated record. Lineage: Eukaryota; Viridiplantae; Streptophyta; Magnoliopsida; Arecales; Arecaceae.
CUACCACAGCCAUUCUUCUUUCCUCAAAAUUUCAUAUAAGUGCUACGACUACCCUGCUCAAGGCACACUAGGUGAUGUAUUUUUUUUUGCCGGCGCGAAAGUCAUCCUGUUCAUCGCAUUGCUGGUGACACAUUCUUGCAGGUGCUGUCCAGUGAUCAGAGGAAAGGAAAAGAGCUCAAAAGGGGUGCUUUGGAUGAGUCAAACACAAGACCAAGGUAGUGCAAUAGUUAUUAGAAGGAAAAGAAAAGAGCUCAAAAGGGGUACUUUGGAUGAGUCAAACACAAGACCAAGAUAGUGCAAUAGUUAUUAAAAGG